Long non-coding RNA from Sinocyclocheilus anshuiensis, 459 nucleotides. RefSeq lists it as uncharacterized. The record is from RefSeq and is a predicted model, not a curated record. Lineage: Eukaryota; Metazoa; Chordata; Actinopteri; Cypriniformes; Cyprinidae. The transcript is spliced from 2 exons.
GGGCGGUGACAUGUCAUAUGUCCUGCUGCUGUUGCAUCUCCUGCCUUCUGCUCCAGGGAGGAAGAAGACUAAGAUCAGUCCAACAGAGGCUGGUGACAGACUUGUGCAUUACCAUAAGUCCUGCACCAGUAUUGAAGGCCGUCUCAGCAGGAGGUAGGGCCACCAGCCAUUCUUACUGAGAUCAGGAAGGAUUAAGGGCAGGAUCAACCACUUUUACGUCGUUGUGGACAAGCGCCUCAUCCCUUGCGUUGGAACCAGCUCCUUGAGUGCCUUUGAACUUUUUAAAGUUCACUGUCUUCAACCUGUCCUACAAGGAAGCCCUGGUGUCUAAAGCCAACAGCUUGUUCUACAGGCCUUUUGAUCUGCAGUAUUUAUAUGGGUCAGAUGAUGGUGAAUAUAUUGUAUCUUUUGUGUUGGUGUAAUAGUUACAUCUGUGUUAAAAAUAAAAUUUCAAACUGA